CUUGGGAGCUAGCUGCAGGUCCUGCAGGUGCCCCCCAGCUACUCUGAGUGGGCCCUGGGUCUGGCCACUGGGCAACUUUUCCUCCACCAGGAUCUGAUGAUCUGGGUGUAAUGAAAAUGGAGGCUGAGAAGGAAUUCACAACAAAUCACAGCUGAACAGUGUGUUCAUAUGAUUCCCAUACAAGAAAACUAUUUAACAGCAUAUUCAGGCCACAUGUUUGCAAUUCAAAGAUUACACCAUUUAAUGAUUUAUUAAACUGAGGCCCAUCUUUCUCCAGCCUUUUUAAAAGGCUUCUAGGUUCUUGCUAGUUGUCUUGUUAAUGUGUAUUAGAUGGAUAAUUGAUGAAUCACAGCUACCUAUGAAUACAUGCCCUCUCUUGAGGUUUGCAGCAACUGACCAAACACUGACAGAAGAUAAUGAAUGCAGUUAACAUGUGAUAUGAAGAAGAGAUCGCUGUGCUUACCAAAAACAUCCAUGACAGACUAAGCAUAUGGGAUCAGAGGAAAGAACAUCCUGUACGCUGUCCAAGAGAAACCAGGCUGGCCUCUGCAUACCUAGGAAACCUAACAUAAUUAAUGCAAUACGGUUUACAGAGAUGGACGUGCACAUACAAUGCCAGGCAUAUAGUGAAGG
Non-coding RNA from Anas platyrhynchos (mallard), 633 nucleotides. The record is from RefSeq and is a predicted model, not a curated record. NCBI's taxonomy places the organism in Eukaryota, Metazoa, Chordata, Aves, Anseriformes, Anatidae.